Molecule: long non-coding RNA, 936 nt
Filed under: Pandoravirus salinus
Description: putative ncRNA
Source: RNAcentral
GUACAACCGAGCACGGCGCCCAAUGCAGAGACCUCCAUGCCAAGGAGGGGCGCAAACAAGGCUGUCUGCGCGCCGUGUGAAGCGUAGAUGCCCGCCGUGAUGAUGAUGCGGUCGACCUCGCGCGCAAUGGCCCCGAGUCGACCGCUGUCAUACACGUGGGGAACAAUGACCAUGUGCGUGCCCGACUGGCGGGCCAUGGUGGCGAGGCGCCUCAUUUUGCCGCAAGCACCGGCCUGGUCGGUGUAAUCGGCGACGCUCCGACCGUCGAGCAACAGCGUGCGCGGCCCGUCCAAAUGAGACGCGGCAAACUUGGGGCACCGCGAAAAGGCAAUGGCAAGACCAAUGUCCUCUUCGAGAUUGUAGUCACUGCCGGGCGAAAAGGGACGAACCAUCGAUCCGAGGAGGGGCGCGUCGCGUGGGCCGCCGCGCAUGCGAUUCAUCUCGCACAGCAUGCGCGUCUCGAUGAACCGCGCUGUGGUGGUCUUGCCCGAUGGACCAUGCGCCCCCAGCACGAGCGUCGCCGAACCUCGGUCAUUGGAGAGGACGCCACCAAAAUCCUGCCACUCGUACACGCGCGUGCCGUUGAUGACGACAGACGGCGGGGCGAGCGUCGCGCAAAUCCUCCUGGCUGCGCGAUCAAACUCGGCAAGGGCGACCAUGGGCCAAUGCGAGGCGACCCACGACCGCGCCGCCCUGUAGCAACCCGCCUUGCGCACGCCGCGCGCAAGAUAGGCAUCAAACACGCGCUCUAGCGGCAACGAGGGCAGCCGAUCAAAGCCAAAAGCAUCGUGCGCUGCGGUGUCGAGGGCGCCUGCCGCGUCGCAGAGUGACCGGCUAUUUUUGUUGUUGUCUUGCAUUGUCUGUCUGUCGCAAGAGUUUGGACAACAAAGACGAUAUGCUUGGCGCCGUCGGCAGCGGGCGCCAAUGGCAACGCAC